AUGCCUGCCCCCAGAGGGCGCUCUUUGUUAGGAGAGGUCUUAUCACUCGGUUUCUCUGGUUCUGGAAGCAGAGAGGAAGCACCUGGGUUAUCUAGAGCACUGUGGGGUGUGCCUGUGGCUCUUGAUUGCAAGUGGAAGAAAGCAGUCUGCAAAACGCCACUUAAGCUUCAAAGAGCUAUUGAAGCCUUGUGUCCCUGGAAGGCUAUUUUCAUUUUAAGGAAAGGCUUGUGAGUAAGAAUGUGAUAGAAAGGCCUUCAGGUUUCCACAGAAAUACUGAUGUCUGCUUCGUGAUUACUGACAGAGAGAAGAGUUAAGUUUCAGCUCAGGAAUUUCUGUCUUACCUGCCAAACAAUGUAGAUACCCGGAGCUCUUCUCAAGGAAGUUCAAGUAUUCACUAUUUUAUCCAUUUUAUGAAAAAAUUGUGUAAGUAUUACCUCUUUUUUAUCAUCUGGAAUAUAUAGUCUUUCUAAAACCUGUCUCUAAGAAAAAUUUUAAGAAGAUUAAAAUGUAAAUUGCAAACACAGAAAAGCAUGCACAUGAUUUUUCCCAUAUUAGAAAGGUCAUUAUAAUAUAAAUCUUUUCAAGUUAUAUGAAUCCAACUCCUGAUGAAAUGUUACAAUAUUUAAAAUUUUCUCUCAUCUUCCCUGCUCUCCUCAUCUGUGUACAUAGGUUAGGGACAAGGAAUCAGAAUCAAUAAAUGUAAAAUAUUAAAGAUUAAAAGAUUAGAA
Molecule: long non-coding RNA, 728 nt
Filed under: Oryctolagus cuniculus (rabbit)
Lineage: Eukaryota; Metazoa; Chordata; Mammalia; Lagomorpha; Leporidae
Description: lncRNA (ENSOCUG00000033492.1)
Source: RNAcentral